RNAcentral lists this microRNA (22 nucleotides) under Lottia gigantea (owl limpet). RNAcentral's name for it is "Lgi-Mir-12_3p* (star (passenger))". The record is from RNAcentral. Lineage: Eukaryota; Metazoa; Mollusca; Gastropoda; Lottiidae.
AGUACCUUCUGUCAUAUUCUAA